RNAcentral lists this ribosomal RNA (549 nucleotides) under uncultured bacterium. RNAcentral describes it as "bacterial SSU rRNA". It matches the Rfam family "Bacterial small subunit ribosomal RNA", at positions 355 to 896 of the family's 1533-position model. The record is from RNAcentral.
UGGGGAAUAUUGCACAAUGGGCGCAAGCCUGAUGCAGCCAUGCCGCGUGUGUGAAGAAGGCCUUCGGGUUGUAAAGCACUUUCAGCGAGGAGGAAGGUGGUGAGCUUAAUACGCUCAUCAAUUGACGUUACUCGCAGAAGAAGCACCGGCUAACUCCGUGCCAGCAGCCGCGGUAAUACGGAGGGUGCAAGCGUUAAUCGGAAUUACUGGGCGUAAAGCGCACGCAGGCGGUUUGUUAAGUCAGAUGUGAAAUCCCCGGGCUCAACCUGGGAACUGCAUUUGAAACUGGCAAGCUAGAGUCUCGUAGAGGGGGGUAGAAUUCCAGGUGUAGCGGUGAAAUGCGUAGAGAUCUGGAGGAAUACCGGUGGCGAAGGCGGCCCCCUGGACGAAGACUGACGCUCAGGUGCGAAAGCGUGGGGAGCAAACAGGAUUANAUACCCUGGUAGUCCACGCUGUAAACGAUGUCGAUUUGGAGGUUGUGCCCUUGAGGCGUGGCUUCCGGAGCUAACGCGUUAAAUCGACCGCCUGGGGAGUACGGCCGCAAGGUUA